CCUACGGGAGGCAGCAGUGGGGAAUAUUGGGCAAUGGGCGCAAGCCUGACCCAGCAACGCCGCGUGAAGGAAGAAGGCUUUCGGGUUGUAAACUUCUUUUCUCAGGGACGAAGCAAGUGACGGUACCUGAGGAAUAAGCCACGGCUAACUACGUGCCAGCAGCCGCGGUAAUACGUAGGUGGCAAGCGUUAUCCGGAUUUACUGGGUGUAAAGGGCGUGUAGGCGGGACUGCAAGUCAGAUGUGAAAACCACGGGCCCAACCUGUGGCCUGCAUUGGAAACUGUAGUUCUUGAGUACUGGAGAGGCAGACGGAAUUCCUGGUGUAGCGGUGAAAUGCGUAGAUAUGAGGAGGAACCCCGGUGGCGAGGGCGGUCUGCGGGACAGCAACUGACGCUGAGGCGCGAAAGCGUGGGGAGCAAACAGGAUUAGAUACCCUUGUAGGC
RNAcentral lists this ribosomal RNA (443 nucleotides) under uncultured bacterium. RNAcentral describes it as "partial 16S ribosomal RNA". It matches the Rfam family "Bacterial small subunit ribosomal RNA", at positions 338 to 795 of the family's 1533-position model. The record is from RNAcentral.